RNAcentral lists this ribosomal RNA (445 nucleotides) under uncultured bacterium. RNAcentral's name for it is "partial 16S ribosomal RNA". It matches the Rfam family "Bacterial small subunit ribosomal RNA", at positions 354 to 796 of the family's 1533-position model. The record is from RNAcentral.
GUGAGGAAUAUUGGACAAUGGGCGCAAGCCUGAUCCAGCCAUGCCGCGUGCAGGAAGACGCAUCUAUGGUGUGUAAACUGCUUUUGUACGGGAAGAAACACUCCCUCGUGAGGGAGCUUGACGGUACCGUAAGAAUAAGGAUCGGCUAACUCCGUGCCAGCAGCCGCGGUAAUACGGAGGAUCCAAGCGUUAUCCGGAAUCAUUGGGUUUGAAGGGUCCGUAGGCGGUUUAAUAAGUCAGUGGUGAAAGCCCAUCGCUCAACGAUGGAACGGCCAUUGAUACUGUUAGACUUGAAUUACAAGGAAGUAACUAGAAUAUGUAGUGUAGCGGUGAAAUGCUUAGAUAUUACAUGGAAUACCAAUUGCGAAGGCAGGUUACUACUUGUGGAUUGACGCUGAUGGACGAAAGCGUGGGGAGCGAACAGGAUUAGAUACCCGGGUAGUCC